UAGGCAGAUGGCUCCGCCAGUAGAGCAUGAGACUCUUGAUCUCAGGGUUGUGGGUUUGAGUCCUUCAACGGGCAAAA
Non-coding RNA from Podarcis lilfordi (Lilford's wall lizard), 77 nucleotides. The record is from the annotation of a GenBank genome assembly. NCBI's taxonomy places the organism in Eukaryota, Metazoa, Chordata, Lepidosauria, Squamata, Lacertidae.